This is a long non-coding RNA of Numida meleagris (helmeted guineafowl), 4867 nucleotides long. RefSeq lists it as uncharacterized. The transcript is spliced from 5 exons. The record is from RefSeq and is a predicted model, not a curated record. NCBI's taxonomy places the organism in Eukaryota, Metazoa, Chordata, Aves, Galliformes, Numididae.
CUGUACUCACAGCAGACAUUGUCCCUAGCAGCGCAGCACUACUACGAAUGAUCAACGUGCACUUGUCAGAUCAGCCAUGCGGAUGAACUAAGAACUGCUGUUAAUCAGAAAGGAAAGCAUAAUUACAUACAGAGACGUGGCUGGCAAGUGGAAAAAUCCUUCUGUUUGUCGGCAACUCCAGUUCCACUCCAGUACCCUCCGUAAAAAGAAGACCAAAAAGCAAAGUCUCUAAGCCAGCUUACAAUCCUGACCUUGGAACUGAGAAGUAGGCAGGUACUGCAGGGCUCUGCCCCAUCUGACAUCUCACCAGUCAUUUUGAUGACAACAGUUAAACAUUUGAAAAGUGGCCAUAAGACAGUGAUGACAACAUCCACUUUACGGUCAGAACACUUCUGUGCCUCACUCAAGCUUCGUUUCUGCCCGGAGGCAGGAUCUGGUGGCCACUGCCUCUUUCCACAUCGCUGCAUUUCUUCACGAGCGAUUUCCCCUUGUGGCACAGUGACAGGACUGGAAGAAAGAAAACAUUACUCUCAUCUUAGACAAGACAAGGAGAAGGAUCCAGCUACAGGCUCCUCAACCUCACCUCAGUCCGUAUAAGGUGAUGUAGAAACUGAUCCCAGAAACUGUUUUCAAAUAUGUGUAGGACAAGAAGGUAAUAAAGAGUACUCAGAAAGGAUUUAGGAUUGAUAAAUAGCACUUAACCAAUUUGAUAGUCUUCUGCAAUGAUGUGACUGCUUCAGUAGAUAGAACAGUGGAUACCAUUUAUCUUGAUUUUAGAUAGGCUUCUGACACUGUCUCCCAUAACAUCCUUAUAGACAUGAAUACAAAAAACAGGCCACAUAGACAGUGAGGUAAACUGAAAACUGGCUGAAUGUCUGAGCCCAUAGCAUUGUGAUUAGAUGAAUGAAGUCCAGUUGCAGGCCAGUGAUCAGUGUACACGCAGGAGCUAAGAGCCAAGCCAGCACUGUUUACUCCUUCAUUCACGACCAGGGCAAUGAGAAAGUCAACCUGCAGUAAGUUUGAUGAUACAGCGGGAGGUUGUGCUGUCAUUCUCAAGGAUCUUGACAGGCUGGAAAAAUGGGAUGAUGGGAACUUCAUUAAGUUCUACAAAAGAAAAUGCGAAGUCCUGCAUGUGGGAAGGAAUAACCUCAUGCACUAGUACAGACCGAGGGUCACCCAGCUGGAAAGUAGCCUGGCAAAAAUGGCCUUGAGGUCCCUGUGGGCAGCAAGUGAUUACCAGCCAGCAAGAUGCCUUUGUGGAAAAGAUGCCAGCAGCAUCUUGGGCUGCAUUAUGAUAAGCAAGUCAAGGGAGGUGAUCCUUCCUUUCUACUCAGCACUGGUGAGACACAUCUGAGUGCCGGGCUCAGCCCUACGCUUGCCUUUAGCAGAAAAAUAUGGACAAACUGAAGCAGCUCCAGGACAGGACCAAAGAGACGAUUAUGAGUCUGGAGCAUCUGUCAGAGGAGGUGAGGCUGAGAGAGCUGUAAUUGUUCAGUCUGCAAAGGCUCGGAGAGACUUUAUCAACAUAUAUGAAUAUAAAAUGAGAAGGUAAAGGAGAUGAGUCAGACUCUUCUCAGAGUCUCUGUCUUCCUUGUAGAAAGGACAAGAGGCAAUUGACAAAAGCUAAAUAUAAGAAACACUAAAUAUAAAAAGAAGUUUUACUUGUAAGGGUGAUUGAAUGCUGGAAAGGUGUUACCCAGAACAUGCUGUGGAGCUGCCAUCCUCAGAGAUAUUCAAAACCCAACUGGACAGAAUCCUGACCAAUCCACUCCAGCUGGCCAUGCUUUAAGUGGGGGAGGGAGUGGACUAGAUAACUUCCAGAGGUUCCAUCCAACCUUAAUCAUCCUAUGAUUCUGUGACUGUCAAUGGUGGGAUCAUUAAUUAGAUACAUAAUGAAAAAAAAACUCCUCCUGUAUCUACUUUUUGUACAAGGCUUGAAAUACUUAAAAUGUUCAUAUUAAAAAUCAAAUUCACUUUUUCCAAGAGUGAAAAAGGUGUAAUUCAUACAUUCCUUUCACUAAGGACUCACUCAGACGCUAUGUUCAGAAGUCAAACACAUAUGCAGAGUUGAUUUAAGAAAAUGGAAGGAGGACUUUCUUCACUUUCUUUGCUCGUUUAUUGUUUAGGAAGGAAGAAAAGGGAAGGGCACAGGACUGCAGAGGACAGAACAGAAGCUAUCUAUGCUCCUACAUGUUCUGGCUACGGCAACUGCUGCUAACCAUCUAUGCCAGUUAGCUGCUGAGCACACAGCCAGCAGAGACUUUCCAGCAUGAACUCUUCCUAAUCGUCCGCUCCUCUUUCUUCACUAUGUCAAGUACUCUGUCCCUCUGCGACUGCCCUCUGCGCUUGUCCUGACACAAUUUUUUAGUAUUCCUGAGUUUAUUUCUAAAACACCUUAUUCUUAAUAUAAAUUUUUGAGCUAACAGUCACCAGGAAGUGUGCUAAAAUCACUUUUAGUUGUCAGCCCCUUAUUAGCAGAAGUUUACUUCUCCUCCACUCAGGUAUUCUUGGGUCACUCCAUCAAAUACUGUCCUACUGGUUCAACAGGAGUGGCAAGAUGUGGGCAGCUACACCUGCCCUUAGAUAAUACUUUAACCAGCACAUGCUCUGUGAAGGUUAGGAACUGGAAUGACUGUAUGCCAGGUGCCCGGGGUGUUUUCAAAAAGAAUACUCUAUAAGAGUUCCUUGUAAGCACACAGAGGGUGACAAGCCACCACCAGCCAAGCAAUGCAAAAGCAAAGUCACUACUACUCAUUUUCUGCUUCCAACCUGAAGAGCUUGUUAGCCAUUUCCAGCCAUACCAGUCCAACAAAAAAGUACUGCAUUUCCUAUAACAUACAUGCAUCUUAAAAAAAAAAACCAAAAAACAAAACUCAGUCUAGAAGAUUAAUGAAUUGUUCACUGAAGUGGGAAAGGUGCAAGCUGUAUUUUCCUUUGGCAAACAAACAAGAGAAAUGGCUUUCCUCCAGUAUCAGACAGACAAGGAAGGGAUCUCAAGAGAAGAUGUGUAUCUGGAGAAUGUUUCUGUCCAUUAGAGGGAUAUUCCUUACUCAAACCCCUUUCUUUCCAAGAGUUAAACAUGAAAUGACGAGCUAAAAGUAGAACUGAACUUAACUAGUCCUGCAAGAAUCAAAAGCGGAAUAUAUUUGUUAUAGACAUCCACACAACAGUAACGUUUAUUGACGGUAACUGUUCUAAAUCAUUUGGAAAAAAAAAAGAAGCCCAAACACCACGUUAAACUUGAAUGGUUUACUUCUUACUCUUCCUAACACAUGGAAUAGUAAUUACUGCUGCCCCACCCUGCUCAUGGAUUAAACAUUUAUCAAAUAAAAGAGGUUAAAGUGCACUGCCCAAAGCCAACAAGGAAUUAGUUUUAUCAGCAAUAAUUAAGGACCAGGAUGUCCUGUGAUGUCCUACCACCACUGUUUCGCACCUAUCAGUAGACAACUGCUUUUCCUUUCAACAGCUAUCACCGGAAAAGCAGAAAUACUUAAACAAGGUGUUUCCUAUUGGAUUGCAAAAUGAGGAAAAGAUGCUUUUGACAAGUGACAUCUUAUACAGAGGAAGUUAACAUUUUGAUGGAAAAUAUUAAGUCUUUUCCUUUCAACAUGUGGCUAAAAUGAUAGUCCUCUAGCUGAGACACUGGAGAGCCUUUGCAGCCAAUGCAGGUCAACUUUUCUUGGUUUACAGUCUGAAACACAAUACUUUGCCAAAUAAAAUCAGCCUUUAAAAUCUACUUUCUACUAUUCAGAGAAUGAAAAUCUAAAAAGAGCUAGGUCAAAGAAUUUAGAAUAGUCUUGCUAUUGAUCUUUUGAAGGAAUUCCACUCUCUCCUCCUCGCACGACACAUCCCCAAGUUAUGUUGCAGUUACUACAAAAAUGGAAUUAAACAUUCUAGUAAUCUGAAGUAUUUUUAAAAGACUGUUAAUAUGCAGUUACUCUAUUUGCUGUUUUGCCAUUGAAAUAAAUUUUAUGCAAAAACAUACAUAAGGAAAAAAAAAAAGUUUGCUUCUUUGGUCCUUUCCAACCUUGGUGAUUCUAUGAUUCACAAGUACAUACUUCUUCCCCUGUCUGUCCAGAAUUGGCAUAGAAGCUAACACUGGGUAAAAUCACGCUGACCUCAAAUAAAAACAGAUGAUGAAUGAAAGUGCUUCAAUUCCAACUGUUACACGGAUUAAGGCAAUUGGCGUACAUAAUCAUGAUGACUGUAGUACAAAUAAAAAAAUAGGAUGGAAAAAACUUGCCAAGCGGCUAAUAGACAAAAUCUAAAUUGAAUAAAAUUAGUUAUGUGUUUGCUUGAAUACAGACAGUAUAUAUAUUACAGAAAUGCCCUGGCACAGAUGUCUUAUUUAAGUAAAUCGACUUCCGUUUUAAAAAGUCCAUACUCUUCAGUGUUCACUCUCAUGUAGUUCCUAUAAUUCCAACAACUUUUUUAGUUACUCAUGUUUGUGUAUGUGUACAAUGCCUUCCUUCCAUCGGUCCUUGCUAAGGGAUCAUUACCCUAAGUACAGUUGUUUGGAUGAAAAAAUUGAAGAUCUGAGGUAAGAGUUUUAGAGGGAAAGGAACAGCAUGACGUGGUAACAGUUACUCAGCCUAGAAAAGGUUGCCAUAUGAACAAGCAAGCAGGCUGUCUAGAGAUGUGGAUUUGCCAUCCUUUUAAAGAAGAAAUUAAGCAAGUCUCAGUUUUGACGACAGGUAAAAAAUAGGUAGUACCUAGGAUUAAGGGAAUUUAAUUUUCUUUAUUGUUGCAAGGCUUUUGUCUCUUGCUUUCAUAUAUAUUUAUUAUUAUUUUUAAUACAAACAGCUAAGCAAGUCCUGGAGGAAAACAAAAAUCAUUUUGAUUCUGCUAAGAAGGAAACAGACUUUAA